Molecule: ribosomal RNA, 392 nt
Filed under: uncultured bacterium
Lineage: Bacteria
Description: bacterial SSU rRNA
Rfam family: Bacterial small subunit ribosomal RNA
Source: RNAcentral
ACUCCUACGGGAGGCAGCAGUGGGAAUAUUGCACAAUGGGGGAAACCCUGAUGCAGCCAUGCCGCGUGUGUGAGAGGCCUUCGGGUUGUAAGCACUUUCAGUAGGGAGGAAGGUAGUGUAGUUAACACCUGCACUAUUUUGACGUUACCUACAGAAGAAGCACCGGCUAACUCCGUGCCAGCAGCCGCGGUAAUACGGAGGGUGCGAGCGUUAAUCGGAAUUACUGGGCGUAAAGCGCAUGCAGGCGGCCUGUUAAGUCAGAUGUGAAAGCCCGGGGCUUAACCUCGGAAUUGCAUUUGAAACUGGCAGGCUAGAGUCUUGUAGAGGGGGGUGAGAAUUUCAGGUGUAGCGGUGAAAAUGCGUAGAGAUCUGAAGGAAUACCAGUGGCGAAA